GGAAAAAAAAGAAAAGAAAGAAGGAAAAAAAAAAAAAGAAAAAGAAAAGUUUCGCCUGGCGAGCGUCCGAGCGCGGAGCCUGAGCGUCGUCGCCGCCGCUGCGGGAGCAAGUUACGCGCGUACGAUCUGGGAGUGUAGCACAGAACUGGCAUGAGAUAUAUGAUUUUGUAAAUCAACUGACAGAAAGAUUUGUGAGGUGUGUUUUGCUCAUUGUAACUUCUAUAACGGGAUAUGUUGACAAAAGCUACCCUUCUGUAAGGUUAUUAGAUGUCCACGUUUCACAAGCAUGUUAAGUUUUGGCUCCUCGUGCCCAAAUAGUUAGAAAAUACUGGACACUUUAUCCUCAUUUUUGGAACUGAGUAAAAAGGUGAUAACAUGCAUCUUUAAAUAUUGCUCUCAGAUUUGACUUGAUUUUUUUAAGCAUUGUUUUUCCAUAAGCCACGUGGCUUAUUUCUGAUACAGUAUUCCCUAUGCAUUACUUUUAGAGGUCUGGAUAAGAAGACAAUAUGAAUACAUAUAUAGAUAUGUGAAUAGAUGAUGCAGGUCAAAAGCAAGGGAAGAUCUUUCAAGUGCAAACAGGCGUGCAUAAAGUUUGUGCCAUGUUAGCAAUAUAUGUUAUAUGAUAAUAUAUGUAUAAUAUAUGAUCACGUGUAUGUGAUCAACUUGAUGUGAACCUGAUCAGUACCAUUGUCUGGCAAGUAUUGCUGUUGCAGAUAUGGCUGCAGUAAAUACUGGCUAGCUGUCCUCUCUACAUAGAGCAUAAAACAGAGCCCCCAGACACACAGACAUGGAUGUUGCCAUUUUUUUCUAAAGAAAUUGAAAUGCAAUGAGCAAUUAUAAGGCUUGUAUAAUUAAAUACUGCUUACAUUCAUCUUGUAAAAAAGAAAAAAAAACAGAUCUUGAGUAAAACAACUGAGUGACAAAAGCUUUUGAAAGUUCUCUUGUAAGCUUUAGAAGAAAAAAAAAGAGCCUGAGAGCAAAGUGCUUCCUCUUUUUAGCGAGUAGUGAGAAAUAUCUUUGUCCCCACUGAAAUGAUGAUGCUCGUCCAGCGUAAAUUCUUCAGGUCAUCAUCUUUUGCAGCCAAAUGACACGCCCUUUUGCAACAGUUGGGUUGUGGAGUGGUCUGGCCGUAUUACUUGAAAUAAAGCUAUUUAGUUGUAUUUAUACA
This 1168-nucleotide long non-coding RNA is filed under the name Struthio camelus australis. RNAcentral describes it as "lncRNA (ENSSCUG00000004801.1)". Lineage: Eukaryota; Metazoa; Chordata; Aves; Struthioniformes; Struthionidae. The record is from RNAcentral.